GCCCACCAAGGCAUCGAUGGGUAGGGGUUCUGAGAGGAAGGUCCCCCACAUUGGAACUGAGACACGGUCCAAACUCCUACGGGAGGCAGCAGUGAGGAAUAUUGGUCAAUGGCGGAAGCCUGAACCAGCCAAGUAGCGUGCAGGAUGACGGCCCUCCGGGUUGUAAACUGCUUUUAGUUGGGAAUAAACGGGGGCUCGUGAGCCCCUUGCAUGUACCAUCAGAAAAAGGACCGGCUAAUUCCGUGCCAGCAGCCGCGGUAAUACGGAAGGUCCGGGCGUUAUCCGGAUUUAUUGGGUUUAAAGGGAGCGCAGGCGGACCUUUAAGUCAGCUGUGAAAUACGGCGGCUCAACCGUCGAACUGCAGUUGAUACUGGAGGUCUUGAGUGCACACAGGGAUGCUGGAAUUCAUGGUGUAGCGGUGAAAUGCUCAGAUAUCAUGAAGAACUCCGAUCGCGAAGGCAGGCAUCCGGGGUGCAACUGACGCUGAGGCUCGAAAGUGCGGGUAUCAAACAGGAUUAGAUACCCUGGUAGUCCGCACAGUAAACGAUGAAUACUCGCGGUUUGCGAUACAGUGUAAGCCGCCAAGCGAAAGCGUUAAGUAUUCCACCUGGGGAGUAC
Molecule: ribosomal RNA, 618 nt
Filed under: uncultured bacterium
Lineage: Bacteria
Description: bacterial SSU rRNA
Rfam family: Bacterial small subunit ribosomal RNA
Source: RNAcentral